This 253-nucleotide ribosomal RNA is filed under the name uncultured bacterium. RNAcentral's name for it is "partial 16S ribosomal RNA". It matches the Rfam family "Bacterial small subunit ribosomal RNA", at positions 524 to 776 of the family's 1533-position model. The record is from RNAcentral.
UACGGAGGGGGCUAGCGUUGUUCGGAAUUACUGGGCGUAAAGCGCACGUAGGCGGCUUUGUAAGUUAGAGGUGAAAGCCCGGGGCUCAACCCCGGAAUUGCCUUUAAGACUGCAUCGCUUGAAUUGCGGAGAGGUGAGUGGAAUUCCGAGUGUAGAGGUGAAAUUCGUAGAUAUUCGGAAGAACACCAGUGGCGAAGGCGGCUCACUGGACGCGUAUUGACGCUGAGGUGCGAAAGCGUGGGGAGCAAACAGG